UCAGGGUCCUGUAUUAGUCAGUGGGUAGGUCCCAGUGUCUGCACUGUUGUCAGUACCAAUGAUUUCGGGAAUUUUGGGCCAAAAAGUUUGUGUUUUUUUGUGGAAAAGUCCGAAAACUUCUGACUUUUCGGGAAAAGGUCUGAAGUUUGCCUGAACCUAUAUUUUUGAAAAAUACGGUCCAUUCGGGAAUUCAGAGUUGCUCGCAUUUUUAUCUUAAAAAUACUGAAAUAAAUUCGGAGCAUGAUAAAUAACCCACCCCCUACAUGUAUUCAUGUGAAAUAUUAGGCUGUCACCCCUAUUUCUGUCGCUAAGAAGCUCCAAGGGGGCAUACAAGAAUUCUUAAAAUGUUUAAGGGUAAGUCUUUAUGCUGGUUUGUGUUGGUGGAAUUAUGCAAAGAUAUUGUACUAUGCCCUGUAUGCUAAGCCCUCAUGCUACUAAAACCGUAUGAUUAGGAGGUAGCGGAUGAAAAAUGAUAACUGUUAAGAAUACCAAUGAAAUGUUCUUUAUUGUGGCAGGAAAACAUACAGCAGAAUUUAUGAACAUUCAUUUCCAUACCACUUCUUUAUUCAGCAUUUGACAGUUUUAUGCAAACGUUUUAACUUCAUGCUGCUUAGCCCUCUGACUACAUUGACAUGUCUAAUAUUUUAUUACUGUGUUCCUGAAUUACCAGGGUCAUUAUGUAUAAAAUGGUUUUAAUUCUUAAUCAUCUUAUUCUCCACUAGGCCUUUUUCCCUCUUAAGGGAGUCAGUCGUCUGUCAACAAGCUAUUCAUUUAGUUCAUAUAAUACAAAAUGGCAAGCACUUCUAUCCUAUAUAUAGUAGCAGGUGCAAGUGUUCUUUCCAGCAACUACAAACAAUUUGGGGGCUAUUCAAAAGACCACUGCAGACAGUUUCCUUUCCGUCGGAGGCAUGGAGAAUUGAUGAACCUGUUCCAAAGGAUUUGAAAAGUUUAACUGAAUUGAAAAUGUAGAUUAGUGAAAAAAAAUAAGAAAAAAAAAUGAUGACAACUUGGCCUGCAUUACCUCAGUUGAUUAAUUUAUAAGCAUUCUGGUCAAUGAUUGUAACCAACAACUAUGCAUAGUGGAAACCUAAUGGGAUCCAUCUUUCAAGAUUACAUGAAGUACAUCAUUUGAUUUAUUUCAUACUUUUCCAAAACUGCAUUUAAACAAUACAAAUUCAGCAUUAGUCAUGCUGGCUGGAACUGCACGGUAAAGAAGUGA
Long non-coding RNA from Xenopus laevis (African clawed frog), 1219 nucleotides. RefSeq lists it as uncharacterized. The record is from RefSeq and is a predicted model, not a curated record. The transcript has 2 exons. NCBI's taxonomy places the organism in Eukaryota, Metazoa, Chordata, Amphibia, Anura, Pipidae.